GGGCCCGUAGCUCAGCUGGCUAGAGCAUUGCUAUGGCAUAGCAAGGGUCGCGAGUUCGAAUCUCGCCGGGUCCA
This 74-nucleotide transfer RNA is filed under the name Candidatus Dojkabacteria bacterium. RNAcentral's name for it is "tRNA-Ala". It matches the Rfam family "tRNA". Rfam says of the family: Transfer RNA (tRNA) molecules are approximately 80 nucleotides in length. The record is from RNAcentral.